Molecule: ribosomal RNA, 253 nt
Filed under: uncultured bacterium
Lineage: Bacteria
Description: partial 16S ribosomal RNA
Rfam family: Bacterial small subunit ribosomal RNA
Source: RNAcentral
AACGUAGGUACCGAGCGUUAUCCGGAUUUACUGGGCGUAAAGCGCGUUCAGGCGGCUUGGCAAGUCGGGCAUGAAAUCUCUCGGCUCAACCGAGAGAGGCUGUCCGAUACUGCUAGGCUUGAGGACGGUAGGGGGUGGUGGAAUUCCGCGUGUAGUGGUGAAAUGCGUAGAUAUGCGGAGGAACACCUGUGGCGAAGGCGGCCACCUGGACCGUACCUGACGCUAAUACGCGAAAGCUAGGGUAGCGAACCGG